Molecule: transfer RNA, 71 nt
Filed under: Trigonopterus tanimbarensis
Lineage: Eukaryota; Metazoa; Arthropoda; Insecta; Coleoptera; Curculionidae
Description: tRNA-Met
Source: RNAcentral
AAAAAGAUAAGCUAAACUUAAGCUAGUGGGUUCAUACCCCAUUUAUAAAGGUAACAUCCCUUUUCUUUUUA